RNAcentral lists this ribosomal RNA (510 nucleotides) under uncultured Glomus. Its description in RNAcentral is "SSU rRNA". It matches the Rfam family "Eukaryotic small subunit ribosomal RNA", at positions 569 to 1081 of the family's 1831-position model. Lineage: Eukaryota; Fungi; Glomeromycota; Glomeromycetes; Glomerales; Glomeraceae. The record is from RNAcentral.
AGCAGCCGCGGUAAUUCCAGCUCCAAUAGCGUAUAUUAAAGUUGUUGCAGUUAAAAAGCUCGUAGUUGAAUUUUGGGAUCAGUAGGUUGGUCGUGCCAAUGGUAUGUACUGGCUUCACUAAUUCCUCCUUCUUGAAGAACUGUAAUAUCAUUAAUUUGGUGUUGCAGGAAAACAGAACUGUUACUUUGAAAAAAUUAGAGUGUUUAAAGCAGGCUAACGCUUGAAUACAUUAGCAUGGAAUAAUGAAAUAGGAUGUUUGACCCUAUUUUGUUGGUUUCUAGGAUCGAUGUAAUGAUUAAUAGGGAUAGUUGGAGGCAUUAGUAUUCAAUUGUCAGAGGUGAAAUUCUUGGAUUUAUUGAAGACUGACUACUGCGAAAGCAUUUGCCAAGGAUGUUUUCAUUAAUCAAGAACGAAAGUUAGGGGAUCGAAAACGAUCAGAUACCGUCGUAGUCUUAACCAUAAACUAUGCUGACUAGGGAUCGGAUGAUGUUAAUUUUUAAUGACUCAUUC